Non-coding RNA from Hydra vulgaris (swiftwater hydra), 801 nucleotides. The record is from RefSeq and is a predicted model, not a curated record. Lineage: Eukaryota; Metazoa; Cnidaria; Hydrozoa; Anthoathecata; Hydridae.
AAGAAUAUCAAAAUAAAUAAUUUAGUUUAAAAUUUGGUCGCCGUUUACGGACUUUCCAGUUUACGGACUUAUUACAAAGGAAUAUUUUGCAAACGAUUUGGAAAUGGAUAAAAUUCAUUUAAAUGAUGGAUUAUCAGAUCCACUGGUUUUUAAAUUCAGGAUUAUCAGAUCCACCGGUUGGACCGUAUCAGGAAAGAGAUCUUUAUUAUAACAAAAGAAUAUUUUGCAAACGAUUUGCAAUAUAUUCUUGAUCAUAGAACAUUUGGAGAAGUCAUUGACUAAAAAGAAUGGAUAUGUAAUUUCAAUUCACGACAACAUGAGACCUACUAAUUUCGAGUAGACAUGAAAUUGACAUUAAAAAAUUUCAAGGUUACGCCUUAGCAACUGCAAGACACUACUUCAAAGAAUAUCCCUGGUAAAACAUGUCAACAUCAGUACAUAGAUUGCUGAUCCACGGACCAGAUAUUAUUUCUUCGGCCAUUUUACCCAUUGGUCAACUGUCCGAGGAUGCUCAAGAAUCAACCAAUAAGUUGAUAAAGCAAUAUCGUUUGGGUUUUUCUCGAACGUUUUCAAGAGUUAAGACUAUGGAAGACGUGUUCAGGAGAUUGUUGGCAACCACAGACCCCUACCUUUUAUCUCUGCGAAAAUCAACACCAAAAAAAUUGAAGACUUUGUUGCCAGAGACUGUUGCCUUCUUGGUUCCUGUAACAGAAGAUUGAAGAAACAGACUUUGAAUAUAAUGAAGAUUUCAACAAAGAGACAGAACAAGAUGAAAAAGAACCAAAAUGAUUGUAACUGAAA